AGCGAACGCUGGCGGCAGGCCUAACACAUGCAAGUCGAACGAACCUUUCGGGGUUAGUGGCGGACGGGUGAGUAACACGUGGGAACGUGCCUUUAGGUUCGGAAUAACUCAGGGAAACUUGUGCUAAUACCGAAUGUGCCCUUCGGGGGAAAGAUUUAUCGCCUUUAGAGCGGCCCGCGUCUGAUUAGCUAGUUGGUUGAGGUAAUGGCUCACCAAGGCGACGAUCAGUAGCUGGUCUGAGAGGAUGAUCAGCGACAUUGGGACUGAGACGCGGCCCAAACUCCUACGGGAGGCAGCAGUGGGGAAUCUUGCGCAAUGGGCGAAAGCCUGACGCAGCCAUGCCGCGUGAAUGAUGAAGGUCUUAGGAUUGUAAAAUUCUUUCACCGGGGACGAUAAUGACGGUACCCGGAGAAGAAGCCCCGGCUAACUUCGUG
RNAcentral lists this ribosomal RNA (434 nucleotides) under uncultured bacterium. Its description in RNAcentral is "partial 16S ribosomal RNA". It matches the Rfam family "Bacterial small subunit ribosomal RNA", at positions 29 to 507 of the family's 1533-position model. The record is from RNAcentral.